UAAAGCGUGGAGCUUAACUCCAUCAUGGCAGUGGAAACUGAAAGGCUUGAGUAUGGUAGGGGCAGAGGGAAUUCCCGGUGUAGCGGUGAAAUGCGUAGAUAUCGGGAAGAACACCAGUGGCGAAGGCGCUCUGCUGGGCCAUUACUGACGCUCAUGGACGAAAGCCAGGGGAGCGAAAGGGAUUAGAUACCCCCUGUAGUCCUGGCCGUAAACGAUGAACACUAGGUGUCGGGGGAAUCGACCCCUUCGGUGUCGUAGCUAACGCGUUAAGUGUUCCGCCUGGGGAGUACGCACGCAAGUGUGAAACUCAAAGGAAUUGACGGGGGCCCGCACAAGCGGUGGAGUAUGUGGUUUAAUUCGAUGCAACGCGAAGAACCUUACCAGGGUUUGACAUCCUGCGAACCUCUUAGAAAUUUGAGGGUGCCUUCGGGAAUGCAGUGACAGGUGGUGCAUGGCUGUCGUCAGCUCGUGUCGUGAGAUGUUGGGUUAAGUCCCGCAACGAGCGCAACCCACGUUUUUAGUUGCCAGCAUUUAGUUGGGCACUCUAGAAAGACCGCCGGUGAUAAACCGGAGGAAGGUGUGGAUGACGUCAAGUCAUCAUGCCCCUUACACCCUGGGCUACACACGUACUACAAUGCUACGGACAAAGGGCAGCAAACUCGCGAGAGCUAGCAAAUCCCAUAAACCGUAGCUCAGUUCAGAUCGUAGGCUGCAACUCGCCUACGUGAAGUAGGAAUCGCUAGUAAUCGCAGGUCAGCAUACUGCGGUGAAUACGUUCCCGGGCCUUGUACACACCGCCCGUCACACCAUGGAAGUUGGCCAUGCCCGAAGUCGUUACUCCAACCCUUGUGGAGGAGGACGCCGAAGGUGGGGCUAAUGACUGGGGUGAAGUCAUAACAAGGUAA
RNAcentral lists this ribosomal RNA (905 nucleotides) under uncultured bacterium. Its description in RNAcentral is "bacterial SSU rRNA". It matches the Rfam family "Bacterial small subunit ribosomal RNA", at positions 596 to 1499 of the family's 1533-position model. The record is from RNAcentral.